Molecule: transfer RNA, 76 nt
Filed under: Gammaproteobacteria bacterium
Lineage: Bacteria; Pseudomonadati; Pseudomonadota; Gammaproteobacteria
Description: tRNA-Trp
Rfam family: tRNA
About the family: Transfer RNA (tRNA) molecules are approximately 80 nucleotides in length. Their secondary structure includes four short double-helical elements and three loops (D, anti-codon, and T loops).
Source: RNAcentral
AGGCGAGUAGUUCAAUUGGUAGAAUAGCGGUCUCCAAAACCGUUGGUUGGGGGUUCGAUUCCCUCCUCGCCUGCCA